This 208-nucleotide ribosomal RNA is filed under the name uncultured delta proteobacterium. RNAcentral's name for it is "partial 16S ribosomal RNA". It matches the Rfam family "Bacterial small subunit ribosomal RNA", at positions 568 to 775 of the family's 1533-position model. The record is from RNAcentral. Lineage: Bacteria; Deltaproteobacteria.
CGUGUAGGCGGCCGGCCAAGUCGGAUGUGAAAGCCCUCGGCUUAACCGAGGAAGUGCGUUCGAUACUAGCUGGCUUGAGUACCGGAGAGGGUGGUGGAAUUCCCGGUGUAGAGGUGAAAUUCGUAGAUAUCGGGAGGAACACCAGCGGCGAAGGCGACCACCUGGACGGAUACUGACGCUGAGACGCGAAAGCGUGGGGAGCAAACAG